Molecule: long non-coding RNA, 483 nt
Organism: Fukomys damarensis (Damara mole-rat)
Lineage: Eukaryota; Metazoa; Chordata; Mammalia; Rodentia; Bathyergidae
Exons: 3
Source: RefSeq, a predicted model, not a curated record
CUCCACCGGGUGGAAGACUAGGGAGGAAGUAAAUGCAGGAAAAAAACAGGAACGUGAUCAUUUGAAUCAGAAUAAAGGAAAACACAGCUUCCUUGAAAAACGGAUGUUUCUGUUGGAUGCCGUGACUUCAGAAAAUGGAGACCAGAUUAUUUCCACCGAGACUGAGCAACAGCCAAACCAGAGGUAGAACAAUUCUGGGAGCAUCACUUUUAUAGAUGAGGAAAGAGGAAGAACUGAAACUCUCCACGGAAUUUAUGAACAAUUUUUCUUUAGAACUUCUCAACUAGUCCAAUUAUUCUUGCUCUGUGCUCUCUGACAUCCAACACAAAGAAGCUGGUUGGAGCAAACUAAACUUCCUUCGUCCCUCUGUGCAAAAAGAAAGACUGCCGAACAAGCACAGCCGGCAUACUGGUUUGAAGUGGAUUCGAAAAAUUUAAGGAAGGGAAAAUAAAACCUCCAAACCCUAAAAAACUAUGUCCUUUC